CCUACGGGCGGCAGCAGUGGGGAAUAUUGGGCAAUGGACGAGAGUCUGAACCAGCCAAGUAGCGUGAAGGAUGACUGCCCUAUGGGUUGUAAACUUCUUUUAUAUGGGAAUAAAAUGUUCCACGUGUGGGAUUUUGUAUGUACCAUAUGAAUAAGGAUCGGCUAACUCCGUGCCAGCAGCCGCGGUAAUACGGAGGAUCCGAGCGUUAUCCGGAUUUAUUGGGUUUAAAGGGAGCGUAGGUGGAUUGUUAAGUCAGUUGUGAAAGUUUGCGGCUCAACCGUAAAAUUGCAGUUGAAACUGGCAGUCUUGAGUACAGUAGAGGUGGGCGGAAUUCGUGGUGUAGCGGUGAAAUGCUUAGAUAUCACGAAGAACUCCGAUUGCGAAGGCAGUUCACUGGACUGCAACUGACACUGAGGCUCGAAAGUGUGGGUAUCAAACAGGAUUAGAUACCCGGGUAGUC
Molecule: ribosomal RNA, 460 nt
Filed under: uncultured bacterium
Lineage: Bacteria
Description: partial 16S ribosomal RNA
Rfam family: Bacterial small subunit ribosomal RNA
Source: RNAcentral